GGCUGGUCCGAAGGUAGUAACUUAUCUCAAUUGGUUGUUCAUAGCUACAGAUUGGACUCCUUGUUCGACUCUUUCUCCCUUUCUCACUACUGUACUUGACUAGUCUAAA
RNAcentral lists this Y RNA (109 nucleotides) under Saimiri boliviensis boliviensis (Bolivian squirrel monkey). Its description in RNAcentral is "Y RNA (ENSSBOG00000012107.1)". It matches the Rfam family "Y RNA". From Rfam's summary of the family: Y RNAs are components of the Ro ribonucleoprotein particle (Ro RNP), in association with Ro60 and La proteins. The Y RNAs and Ro60 and La proteins are well conserved, but the function of the Ro RNP is not known. The record is from Rfam by way of RNAcentral. Lineage: Eukaryota; Metazoa; Chordata; Mammalia; Primates; Cebidae.